AGUGAACGCUGGCGGUAGGCCUAACACAUGCCAGUCGAACGGCAGCACAGUAAGAGCUUGCUCUUACGGGUGGCGAGUGGCGGACGGGUGAGGAAUACAUCGGAAUCUACUUUUUCGUGGGGGAUAACGUAGGGAAACUUACGCUAAUACCGCAUACGACCUACGGGUGAAAGCAGGGGAUCUUCGGACCUUGCGCGAUUGAAUGAGCCGAUGUCGGAUUAGCUAGUUGGCGGGGUAAAGGCCCACCAAGGCGACGAUCCGUAGCUGGACGGAGAGGAUGAUCAGCCACACUGGAACUGAGCCACGGUCCAGACUCCUACGGGAGGCAGCAGUGGGGAAUAUUGGACAAUGGGCGCAAGCCUGAUCCAGCCAUACCGCGUGGGUGAAGAAGGCCUUCGGGUUGUAAAGCCCUUUUGUUGGGAAAGAAAAGCAGCAGGUUAAUACCCCGCUGUUCUGACGGUACCCAAAGAAUAAGCACCGGCUAACUUCGUG
Molecule: ribosomal RNA, 492 nt
Filed under: uncultured bacterium
Lineage: Bacteria
Description: partial 16S ribosomal RNA
Rfam family: Bacterial small subunit ribosomal RNA
Source: RNAcentral